Molecule: ribosomal RNA, 439 nt
Filed under: uncultured bacterium
Lineage: Bacteria
Description: partial 16S ribosomal RNA
Rfam family: Bacterial small subunit ribosomal RNA
Source: RNAcentral
CCUACGUGUGGCAGCAGUGGGGAAUAUUGCACAAUGGGGGAAAGCCUGAUGCAGCGACGCCGCGUGAGUGCUGAAGGCCUUCGGGUCGUAAAGCUCUAUCCUCAAGGAAGAUAAUGACGGUACUUGAGGAAGAAGCCCCGGCUAACUACGUGCCAGCAGCCGCGGUAAUACGUAGGGGGCUAGCGUUAUCCGGAAUUACUGGGGGAAAAGGGUGCGUAGGGGGGUUCUUAAGUCAGAGGUGAAAGGCUACGGCCCAACCUUAGUACGCCUUUGAAACUGGGAAACGUGAGUGCAGGAGAGGAGAGUGGAAUUCCUAGUGUAGCGGUGAAAUGCGUAGAUAUUAGGAGGAACACCAGUGGCGAAGGCGGCUCUCUGGACUGUAACUGACACUGAGGCACGAAAGCGUGGGGAGCAAACAGGAUUAGAUACCCGAGUAGUC